GGUCUGCGGAGGCCGGGGUGGGCACCGAGGUGGCCGCGAGGGGAGGGGAGAAGAGCGGAGCGGAGGGGAGGGGACGCGGCCGAGGUGGGGCUGGCGGCCCGGCGGGUUCCACGCAGGCUGGGGGCGGAGGGCCAGAUCGACCCCAGCCGGGGCGGCCGAGCAGGGUCCACGGGGGUCGGGGAUGGGCGGCCAGGCGGGGUCGGAGGGACGAAAGCCGGGGUGAACCUGCGCCGCGGGCCAAGCGCGACCCCCUCCCUUCCCGACCUGUGCGGAGAGGAGAGAAAUGAAGGGGGGCGCCCAAGGAGCCCUGGCCCCGGGAGUGGGAGUCAGCGGGUGGGAACAGAUCGCCCUUCCUUUCCGCUGGGAAUUGGGGGACUCCCCCUGCUUUCACUCUCCCAGCCCGCCAUGGGGUUGGGCCUUGUCCUUUGCCUUGGGUUUGAAGGCGGAGACAAAAAAGGCUGUCCAAAAUCCAGCCAGCUUGGGAGGCAUGGUUGAUGCGAGUUAGCAAAGAUUCUCGACUGUGGUAAGUCUGUUCAAGGGGACGCAUUCACCAAGUGUCCCCGUUAGCCAAGUUAGCCUGCUGUGGCCAGCUCUUUACUUUUUCCCCCCGAAGCCCCUUCAGCUCUGUUUUCUCUUUCGGGGUCAUGAAGUUUGUCCACGGCCCCUACUCCUGACAGCCUCUGGGAUGGGUGCUGCGGAGGCAGCAGCAGCCACACAGAAAGAGGCAGAUCAGCGUUGUCACCCCUACUUUUGUAAAAGGAAAUCUGGUAUUGCCAGGCUGUGUGGUUAGCGACUCACAUAUGUUCUCGAAAUCUCACAAAAGCCCUGUGAGGUAGAAAUUAUUUUACCCAUUUUAUAGGAAGGAAAUUGAGACUGAGCGAGCCGGCUUCGGAUUGGCUCAAGGUCACAUAUAGUCAUCAUUCGAACCUCACUCAGUCUGCUUCUUUCUGAAGUCUGUGCAGCUUAAUCACUUCAGAAUGGGAAGGAAACGGGGGCCCAGGGAAGUUAAGCAACUUGCCCACUCACUCAGUCUAAUUGGUGCCGGGGCAGGGACAGAACUCACUCAAUUCCACUGCUUUCCCCAGUUUCUGGUGUUGCUAAAAGCCUCCAGUGAAUGAAUGAACACUUGUGUGCCUGCCCUCAAGGAGCCUGCACUACACUUGGAGAUAUAUACAGAAACCUGUUGAGGGCUAACUUAGGUUGGCAAGGCCCCCAGUGGCCAAGGCAUGAGCCUGGAUGCCCUGCAAAUUGAGUACGUGUUAGGGAUGGGGGCCAUUCUUUAU
RNAcentral lists this long non-coding RNA (1283 nucleotides) under Homo sapiens (human). Its description in RNAcentral is "HSALNT0370316". Lineage: Eukaryota; Metazoa; Chordata; Mammalia; Primates; Hominidae. The record is from RNAcentral.